CAUGUCCCACUCACAGAGUUAUCUACAAAUUAGAUUUAGUGUGCAAGAGCCAAGGACCAUCAGAAAUAAGAUUUACUGGAGAAGCCAAAGUGUAUGAGCUGAAGAUGCAGGUGCAGGUGCACAGGAGGUGUGUACAUGUUCCUGACGGCUGUCACCUGCAGGUGCACAGGAGGUGUGUACAUGUUCCUGACGGCUGUCACCUGCAGGUGCACAGGAGGUGUGUACAUGUUCCUGACGGCUGUCACCUGCAGGUGCACAGGAGGUGUGUCCAUGUUCCUGACGGCUGUCACCUGCAGGUGCACAGGAGGUGUGUCCAUGUUC
Molecule: long non-coding RNA, 321 nt
Organism: Acomys russatus (golden spiny mouse)
Lineage: Eukaryota; Metazoa; Chordata; Mammalia; Rodentia; Muridae
Exons: 3
Source: RefSeq, a predicted model, not a curated record